RNAcentral lists this transfer RNA (75 nucleotides) under Candidatus Atribacter allofermentans. RNAcentral's name for it is "Candidatus Atribacteria bacterium ADurb.Bin276 tRNA-Val". It matches the Rfam family "tRNA". From Rfam's summary of the family: Transfer RNA (tRNA) molecules are approximately 80 nucleotides in length. Their secondary structure includes four short double-helical elements and three loops (D, anti-codon, and T loops). The record is from RNAcentral. RNAcentral also lists the same sequence under 4 other names. Lineage: Bacteria; Pseudomonadati; Atribacterota; Atribacteria; Atribacterales; Atribacteraceae.
GGGCGAAUAGCUCAGCGGCGGAGCACUUGCCUUACACGCAAGGGGUCGCAGGUUCAAAUCCUGCUUCGCCCACCA